GGUGUUGUAGCCUAGUGGUUAGAGCGUUCGAUUUACGACUUGAAGGUCGGGGGUUCGAUUCCUGAUACCA
Molecule: non-coding RNA, 70 nt
Organism: Macrostomum lignano
Lineage: Eukaryota; Metazoa; Platyhelminthes; Macrostomidae
Source: Rfam